GAGUUUGAUCGUGGCUCAGAUUGAACGCUGGCGGCAGGCCUAACACAUGCAAGUCGAGCGGUAGAGAGAAGCUUGCUUCUCUUGAGAGCGGCGGACGGGUGAGUAAUGCCUAGGAAUCUGCCUGGUAGUGGGGGAUAACGCUCGGAAACGGACGCUAAUACCGCAUACGUCCUACGGGAGAAAGCAGGGGACCUUCGGGCCUUGCGCUAUCAGAUGAGCCUAGGUCGGAUUAGCUAGUUGGUGAGGUAAUGGCUCACCAAGGCGACGAUCCGUAACUGGUCUGAGAGGAUGAUCAGUCACACUGGAACUGAGACACGGUCCAGACUCCUACGGGGAGCAGCAGGUGGGGAAUAGUUGGACAAGUGGGACGAAAGCCUGAUCCAGCCAUGCCGCGUGUGUG
RNAcentral lists this ribosomal RNA (400 nucleotides) under uncultured bacterium. RNAcentral describes it as "bacterial SSU rRNA". It matches the Rfam family "Bacterial small subunit ribosomal RNA", at positions 9 to 407 of the family's 1533-position model. The record is from RNAcentral.